Molecule: ribosomal RNA, 849 nt
Filed under: Alternaria abundans
Lineage: Eukaryota; Fungi; Ascomycota; Dothideomycetes; Pleosporales; Pleosporaceae
Also listed under: 4 other names
Description: eukaryotic LSU rRNA
Rfam family: Eukaryotic large subunit ribosomal RNA
Source: RNAcentral
ACAGGGAUUGCCCUAGUAACGGCGAGUGAAGCGGCAACAGCUCAAAUUUGAAAUCUGGCUCUUUUAGAGUCCGAGUUGUAAUUUGCAGAGGGCGCUUUGGCUUUGGCAGCGGUCCAAGUUCCUUGGAACAGGACGUCACAGAGGGUGAGAAUCCCGUACGUGGUCGCUGGCUAUUGCCGUGUAAAGCCCCUUCGACGAGUCGAGUUGUUUGGGAAUGCAGCUCUAAAUGGGAGGUACAUUUCUUCUAAAGCUAAAUAUUGGCCAGAGACCGAUAGCGCACAAGUAGAGUGAUCGAAAGAUGAAAAGCACUUUGGAAAGAGAGUCAAACAGCACGUGAAAUUGUUGAAAGGGAAGCGCUUGCAGCCAGACUUGCUUGCAGUUGCUCAUCCGGGCUUUUGCCCGGUGCACUCUUCUGCAGGCAGGCCAGCAUCAGUUUGGGCGGUAGGAUAAAGGUCUCUGUCACGUACCUCUCUUCGGGGAGGCCUUAUAGGGGAGACGACAUACUACCAGCCUGGACUGAGGUCCGCGCAUCUGCUAGGAUGCUGGCGUAAUGGCUGUAAGCGGCCCGUCUUGAAACACGGACCAAGGAGUCUAACAUCUAUGCGAGUGUUUGGGUGUCAAGCCCGAGCGCGUAAUGAAAGUGAACGGAGGUAGGAACCCGCAAGGGUGCACUAUCGACCGAUCCUGAUGUCUUCGGAAGGAUUUGAGUAAGAGCAUGGCUGUUGGGACCCGAAAGAUGGUGAACUAUGCUUGAAUAGGGUGAAGCCAGAGGAAACUCUGGUGGAGGCUCGCAGCGGUUCUGACGUGCAAAUCGAUCGUCAAAUUUGGGCAUAGGGGCGAAAGACUAAU